AGAGUUUGAUCCUGGCUCAGGAUGAACGCUGCGGCGUGCUUAACACAUGCAAGUCGAGCGAAAUAAUUGAGAGCUUGCUUUUGAUUAUUUUAGUCGGCGGACGGGUGAGUAACGUGUGGGUAACCUGCCUUUUACUGUGGAAUAAUCGUUGGAAACGACGACUAAUACCGCAUACGGUUCUUGGAAGGCAUCUUCUAAGAAAGAAAGGAGUAAUUCGGUAAAAGAUGGGCCCGCAUCUGAUUAGCUAGUUGGUGAGAUAACAGCCCACCAAGGCAACGAUCAGUAGCCGACCUGAGAGGGUGACCGGCCACAUUGGGACUGAGACACGGCCCAAACUCCUACGGGAGGCAGCAGUGGGGAAUAUUGCACAAUGGGGGAAACCCUGAUGCAGCAACGCCGCGUGAAGGAAGACGGUUUUCGGAUUGUAAACUUCUACCAAUAGGGAAGAAAGAAAUGGCGGUACCUAAAUAAGAAGCCCCGGCUAACUACGUG
RNAcentral lists this ribosomal RNA (492 nucleotides) under uncultured Eubacteriales bacterium. RNAcentral's name for it is "bacterial SSU rRNA". It matches the Rfam family "Bacterial small subunit ribosomal RNA", at positions 8 to 507 of the family's 1533-position model. Lineage: Bacteria; Bacillati; Bacillota; Clostridia; Eubacteriales. The record is from RNAcentral.